RNAcentral lists this ribosomal RNA (921 nucleotides) under beta proteobacterium PEB0178. RNAcentral describes it as "bacterial SSU rRNA". It matches the Rfam family "Bacterial small subunit ribosomal RNA", at positions 81 to 1000 of the family's 1533-position model. Lineage: Bacteria; Pseudomonadati; Pseudomonadota; Betaproteobacteria. The record is from RNAcentral.
CUCUCUGGUGGCGAGUGGCGAACGGGUGAGUAAUGCAUCGGAACGUACCGAGUAAUGGGGGAUAACUGUCCGAAAGGAUGGCUAAUACCGCAUACGCCCUGAGGGGGAAAGCGGGGGAUCGAAAGACCUCGCGUUAUUUGAGCGGCCGAUGUUGGAUUAGCUAGUUGGUGGGGUAAAGGCCUACCAAGGCGACGAUCCAUAGCGGGUCUGAGAGGAUGAUCCGCCACAUUGGGACUGAGACACGGCCCAAACUCCUACGGGAGGCAGCAGUGGGGAAUUUUGGACAAUGGGGGGAACCCUGAUCCAGCCAUGCCGCGUGUCUGAAGAAGGCCUUCGGGUUGUAAAGGACUUUUGUUAGGGAAGAAAAGCCGGGUGUUAAUACCACCUGGUGCUGACGGUACCUAAAGAAUAAGCACCGGCUAACUACGUGCCAGCAGCCGCGGUAAUACGUAGGGUGCGAGCGUUAAUCGGAAUUACUGGGCGUAAAGCGAGCGCAGACGGUUAAUUAAGUCAGAUGUGAAAUCCCCGAGCUCAACUUGGGACGUGCAUUUGAAACUGGUUAACUAGAGUGUGUCAGAGGGAGGUAGAAUUCCACGUGUAGCAGUGAAAUGCGUAGAGAUGUGGAGGAAUACCGAUGGCGAAGGCAGCCUCCUGGGAUAACACUGACGUUCAUGCUCGAAAGCGUGGGUAGCAAACAGGAUUAGAUACCCUGGUAGUCCACGCCCUUAACGAUGAACAUUAGCUGUUGGGACACUAGAUGUCUUAGUAGCGAAGCUAACGCGUGAAAUUGUCCGCCUGGGGAGUACGGUCGCCAGAAUUAAAACUCAAGGAAUUGACGGGGAACCGCACAGCGGUGGAUGAUGUGGAUUAAUUCGAUGCACGCGAAGAACCUUACCUGGUCUUGACAUGUACGGAAUCUCU